This 253-nucleotide ribosomal RNA is filed under the name uncultured bacterium. RNAcentral's name for it is "partial 16S ribosomal RNA". It matches the Rfam family "Bacterial small subunit ribosomal RNA", at positions 524 to 776 of the family's 1533-position model. The record is from RNAcentral.
UACGUAGGGUGCAAGCGUUGUCCGGAAUUAUUGGGCGUAAAGAGCUCGUAGGCGGCUUGUUGCGUCGGCUGUGAAAACCCGCGGCUCAACCGUGGGCUUGCAGCCGAUACGGGCAGGCUAGAGUUCGGUAGGGGAGACUGGAAUUCCUGGUGUAGCGGUGAAAUGCGCAGAUAUCAGGAGGAACACCGGUGGCGAAGGCGGGGCUCUGGGCCGAUACUGACGCUGAGGAGCGAAAGCGUGGGGAGCGAACAGG